AGCCCGCGGUGGGGGUCCCCGCGCCGCCCAGGCCUACCCCGGCUCCUUGGGAUAGAUGGGGAAGCUGAGGCCCAGAAGGGGGCUGAGACCACCUCCCAGUUUCCCCAGUGAGGUGGCGCCUGAGCCACGGCCAGGCCCGGCCUCCUUCCACCCGGCCCUGCUGUGCGCGCGGCGGGUGCUGACCUGGCGAGGCCGGACAGGGGACCAGGUCGGGGUGACCGUCACUGACACCUGGACAGUCCUCGUUGUGUUCGGGGUGGGAAGCCCACGGAAGACAUCAACACAGGAGACUCCCAAGACUGCUGGGGCCAAAUGUGGCAGGUGGACGUCUCCCCGCCACCGAGCAAGCCAUCAGUUCUGCAGCGGACACCAGCCGAGUGUCCUCCAACACCAUUCCGUGAGUCUGGGGACCCAAGAUCUUAUUUUCCUUUCUGUCACCCCCGCUUGGUUUUGGAUUCCGUGACAGCUGGACCCGGCUUCUGCGUGGUGAGUGCCUCUGAGUGGAAACACUUGUGGUGGUGUCGUGUGUGUGUUUGAACACGUGGGGGGGAUCUCUGAAGGAGUCGCUGACGGAAGUCCAGCAAGCCUCACUCAGAGAAGCCUCCUUAUUUGUGUGGUCCCAUUUGGUGAGCCCUGAAGGAAUUGUUAGUGGAAGCUCAACAGGCCUGACUGGGGGUGUCCGUCCGCUCGUCCAUCUGGCCCAAAUACCACCCAUUGAAUUCCCAGUGAGAGGUCAUCCCUCCCCACCUUGAGUGCAUCAAAGACACCAGGGACCACAGGGGGCAAGUCUGAGCCUUGUGCGGUCAAUGUUGGCUGCUGAGCGAGGUGACCUGUGUCUGUUUCCUUGUAUUUUGCGACAGCUGGGAUGGAAAAUGUUAAUUUUACCGGUUCCCCAUGCAGCUCACUGGGCAGCAUCUUGCAAAAUCGAGAGGUUUUUUCCCCCUGUGAUUCCAUGAAGUGGAAAAAGGUGAUUUUCCUUUGUGAUGUGGCUUCGCCCCCAUAGCUGUGGUUGGUGCUGUGAGCAGGGUCACCAGGGCAGCCCAGGGAAAGGGGACCCAAAAAACCUGGCAU
Molecule: long non-coding RNA, 1071 nt
Organism: Homo sapiens (human)
Lineage: Eukaryota; Metazoa; Chordata; Mammalia; Primates; Hominidae
Gene: LY6E-DT
Product: LY6E divergent transcript
Exons: 3
Source: RefSeq, marked validated